CCUACGGGAGGCAGCAGUGGGGAAUAUUGGACAAUGGGCGAAAGCCUGAUCCAGCCAUGCCGCGUGUGUGAAGAAGGCCUUCGGGUUGUAAAGCACUUUCAGUGGGGAAGAAAGCCUUGGGGCUAAUACCCUCGAGGAAGGACAUCACCCACAGAAGAAGCACCGGCUAACUCCGUGCCAGCAGCCGCGGUAAUACGGAGGGUGCGAGCGUUAAUCGGAAUUACUGGGCGUAAAGCGCGCGUAGGCGGUCUGAUAAGCCGGUUGUGAAAGCCCCGGGCUCAACCUGGGAACGGCAUCCGGAACUGUCAGGCUAGAGUGCAGGAGAGGAAGGUAGAAUUCCCGGUGCAGCGGUGAAAUGCGUAGAGAUCGGGAGGAAUACCAGUGGCGAAGGCGGCCUUCUGGACUGACACUGACGCUGAGGUGCGAAAGCGUGGGUAGCAAACAGGAUUAGAUACCCUAGUAGUC
Molecule: ribosomal RNA, 465 nt
Filed under: Vreelandella stevensii
Lineage: Bacteria; Pseudomonadati; Pseudomonadota; Gammaproteobacteria; Oceanospirillales; Halomonadaceae
Description: partial 16S ribosomal RNA
Rfam family: Bacterial small subunit ribosomal RNA
Source: RNAcentral